Lactuca sativa (garden lettuce) is the source of this 1787-nucleotide non-coding RNA. The record is from RefSeq and is a predicted model, not a curated record. NCBI's taxonomy places the organism in Eukaryota, Viridiplantae, Streptophyta, Magnoliopsida, Asterales, Asteraceae.
UAUUUUGAUUGCUGUCAUUCUUCUUUACACCCUCCGACUUCCAGUUGCGUCGCCCCUCAAAACCAUCACACAUGUUGUUCAUCCUUUUCCGUUUUCAUCCGGAUAGAUCUUCAUCCACCGCCUCAUCUCUCCAGCUACUAGAAAUUUCCUUUUCAUCUCUUUGCCGCUUCGCUGGUCGCUAUCACCCCUUACCGCCGCUUCGGGUGGGUAGAUGGUAUUACGUUAGAGGAUCGCAUCGAUAGAAAUACCUACGAAGACGAUUCAUCAAAGGCAUAGGUCAUUCGACGGUUGAUUAGGGUUUUUGUUUGACUUCGAACCAUAAGCGCCGAUUUCUCUUCAAAUAACAUGAUUCUCACAUAAAAUAUUGUAACAGUUUAAUAGAUCCAAGCCUACAAAAUUUGUUGCAGCCAUUUGGAAUCAACAAAUCGAGGCCAUAGAAUCUGAAUUUAAUGUCCUUAUGAGGAAGAACAAUGAGACAGUGGACCUGAAAGAUGAAGCCAUUCGAUGAUUCACAAGUAUUAAGGGUGAUAGUAAUACCAGCUGCAAGAACAAAAAGUUCAUUCUCAAACGAUCACAGUGGGAAUCAUACAAAUCGUCUCAUCACUUUAUGGUAUAGGGCACUCUAAAUAUUAUGAAGAUUCAGAUCUGAUUUGUCUUCGAAUAAUUUGAUCAAGGGGCAGGGGCAUAAUUGAAAAGUUGAUGAUCUUUCAAACUUUGCAAGUUUUACUUUCAAUAAGAACACAAACAUCACUACAAAAGGAAUGAGUGUGCAGUAUGUCAGCUUCUGUAUUCUUGCGUUCAUCAAAAGAUAACUCACAUUUAAUGAAGGUUUUAGAGAAUGGACAGUUGUGGGUCCCACCAUCUCCUGGACAUAGAAAAAAUUGGGAAGAAGAAAUACUCACGGAUUGAUGACCAAGGCAAUGGGGGAGAAAACAUCAAUAGCCAAUCUUCACGAACAGGGCAUGCAGGAUAUUUAAAUGCAUAUGUUAGCAAUGAACUUUCAUUGAUUGGUUUAGAGUACUUUUAGAGUUCGUUUAUUAGGAUAUUGUAAUCGUAGGGUUAUUGGUGUCGUAUUGUAACUACACCCGGUGGAUUGACAUUAAGCAGUCUGCAGUGAUUUAGGGAUUGGUUGGUAUGGACAAUUUCAGCUGCUUUCUUAAUGUUGUGGAUGUUUAAAAUAGCAAUGUACUUACUUUCAUUUGUUUAUGGAUGCCUUAUAUUUUGGAUUAUAAUGAACUAACCCAAUCAUUUUUUCCAACAACUCUGAGUUUGGUCAAUAUUUUCUCAUUGAUUUUAGUCUAUAGAAUCUUUAAUAAGGGCAAAACUUUAUAAAAUUCAGAAAGUGCAGGGAAAAAUUUUGUAAUUUACUAAAAAAUUUGCAACUUUUCUUUUGGUGUUCUUUGAAAUUUGUUGUCGUGAUGUUGUUUUAUGACAUGUUUGUGAUGCAUAUAUGUUUUCUACUGCGUUCAUCGAGCCAUUGCCUGUGAUCAACUUUCUAACACAGCUUUUGAAUUGACAUGUUUCUGCAAGACCUUUAUCUGAUGCAGACCGAUUGAAGAUCAAAAAAACAAUGACAAGAUUCAAGGUUGAAGUUACCCACCGUGGAACCAAUUAUAUGCUGCAAUUUUAUUAUUUGGUAAAAAAAUAGCAACAUACCAUAUGUCGUUUUGGUCUUCACAUGAAUAUAUUAUUUCUGCUGCUUGGCAGGUGGCAGCAGAGCAAGUAGAUGUUGCCAUCAUGGAAAUGGAAAGACUGAUGCAACCACAGGGACAAGAAAAAAAAUGUUU